UUUUUAAUCAUCUGGUCUCUCUCUCAAUGAAAAUUAAAAAGAGAAAAAAAAAAGAAAUAACCAAGACCUCUUCUUCUCCCUAAAGAACCUACGCGUCGGCGUCUCAACCACCACCAACAAUCCGCCAUCGAAAUCGAAACCAACAGUUUCCUCCUCACCCGUAACACCCUUCCAUUCCCCUACCUCCAAGAUCUAGUUUUCUACGCCGACACAACCCUCAAUCCGCCGGAAACUACCAAAACUACCACCGUCACUCACAAUAUCUGACCAUGUCGUUUCGUCCGUGACCUACUAUAUCCGACCCAUACUCUAUCCGCUUCAUCUGCGCCAUCGCCAUGAUUUCCAACCAAUGAACCCCCAUCACCUCGCUUCCGAUCCAUGACAGAACCUUUUGUGGAGUAAAAAGAGAGAGUAAAAAAAAAACUCAAAGGAUCUGAACGUAACGUCACCGGACUGAUAACAAAUUUCCAUCGAGAAAACCGCGACACGACCUGUUGUAGCAGUUGCGCUCAUAAAGCGAUUUUCACCUCAUUUAUCUGGCUUAUUCCUCCGACAAUGGUAAAGUGAUGCACAAGGCGAAGGUCACGUCAUGAUUAACAAUAACCCAACAACAUAACACUCGUCACGAUCUCUACGACAACUUUCCGACAAAGCUGAUAUCCUCGUUUACGGUACACUCGGCACAAUAAUAACAUCGUCUCCUUGAUUGCGGUAAUGUCUCAAUUUUAGCUCUGCUUUUGGUAUUCGACAUUGUAUAAAGUUGUGUUGUUACAAUUUCUGUUUGGUAUGUGUGCAAUUGAUAUGAAGUUUCCAUGAUACCACAUCAUACAUGAUCGAGAUUAUACGUUUACGAUUCAAUUAUACUGUGUCAUGAUUGAUUGCCUUGUAAAUUCUUGUAGAUAAUUUAUCUAAAUAAUUGUAUUGAGUUGUUUCUCUUUGAUUUUACUGU
Long non-coding RNA from Lathyrus oleraceus (garden pea), 949 nucleotides. RefSeq lists it as uncharacterized. NCBI's taxonomy places the organism in Eukaryota, Viridiplantae, Streptophyta, Magnoliopsida, Fabales, Fabaceae. The transcript is spliced from 2 exons. The record is from RefSeq and is a predicted model, not a curated record.